CCUUACGGCCAUACCACCUUAGGCACGCCCGAUCUCGUCUGAUCUCGGAAGCUAAGCAGGGUCGGGCCUGGUUAGUACCUGGAUGGGUGACCGCCUGGGAAUACCAGGUGCUGUAAGCA
This is a ribosomal RNA of Gadus morhua (Atlantic cod), 119 nucleotides long. The record is from Ensembl. Lineage: Eukaryota; Metazoa; Chordata; Actinopteri; Gadiformes; Gadidae.